GAUGAAGAACGUAGCGAAAUGCGAUACUUGGUGUGAAUUGCAGAAUCCCGUGAACCAUCGAGUCUUUGAACGCAAGUUGCGCCCGAAGCCAUUAGGCCGAGGGCACGCCUGCCUGGGUGUCACACGUCGUUGCCCCCCCAUCUACUCCUUCGGGAUUGCGGGGGGCGGAUGAUGGCCUCCCGUGCGCCUCGUCGCGCGGUUGGCAUAAAUGCCAAGUCCUCGGCGACGCACGCCACGACAAUCGGUGGUUGCGAAACCUCGGUUGCCCGUCGUGUGCGGUCGUCGCGCAUCGAGGGCUGGAAAAAAUUGCCGGGCUCCGGCUCGGCUUUCAACGCGACCCCAGGUCAGGCGGGGUUACCCGCUGAAUUUAAGCAUAUCAAUAAGCGGAGGA
RNAcentral lists this unclassified non-coding RNA (391 nucleotides) under soil metagenome. RNAcentral's name for it is "partial contains 5.8S ribosomal RNA, internal transcribed spacer 2, and large subunit ribosomal RNA". The stretch from base 1 to 122 matches the Rfam family "5.8S ribosomal RNA", at positions 35 to 154 of the family's 154-position model. The record is from RNAcentral.